RNAcentral lists this ribosomal RNA (188 nucleotides) under uncultured Bacteroidota bacterium. Its description in RNAcentral is "uncultured Bacteroidetes bacterium partial 16S ribosomal RNA". It matches the Rfam family "Bacterial small subunit ribosomal RNA", at positions 120 to 306 of the family's 1533-position model. The record is from RNAcentral. Lineage: Bacteria; Pseudomonadati; Bacteroidota.
UGCAACCUACCUAUCACUGGGGGAUAGCCCGGGGAAACCCGGAUUAAUACCGCAUAACACAGGGGUCCCAUAUGGGAAUAUUUGUUAAAGAUUUAUCGGUGGUAGAUGGGCAUGCGUUCGAUUAGCUAGUUGGUAUGGGUAACGGCCUACCAAGGCGAUGAUCGAUAGGGGAGCUGAGAGGUUGAUCC